Molecule: ribosomal RNA, 440 nt
Filed under: uncultured bacterium
Lineage: Bacteria
Description: partial 16S ribosomal RNA
Rfam family: Bacterial small subunit ribosomal RNA
Source: RNAcentral
CCUACGGGUGGCUGCAGUGGGGAAUAUUGCACAAUGGGGGAAACCCUGAUGCAGCGACGCCGCGUGAGCGAAGCAGUCUUCCGGUAGGUAAAGUUCUGUAAGCAGGGAAAAAAAUGACGGUACCUGACCAAGAAGCCCCGGCUAACUCCGUGCCAGCAGCCGCGGAAAUCCGUAGGGGGCAAGCGUUAUCCGGAUUUACUGGGUGGAAAGAGAUCGUAGACGGCAGGGAAAGUCUGGAGUGAAAGGCGGGGGCUCAACCCCCGGACGGCCCUGGAAACUGGCAGGCUGGGGUGCAGGAGAGGUAAAUGGAAUUCCUGGUGUAGCGGUGAAAUGCUUAGAUAUUAGGAGGAACACCAGUGGCGAAGGCGGCUUACUGGACUGUAACUGACGUUGAGGCUCGAAAGCGUGGGGAGCAAACGGGAUUAGAUACCCGGGUAGUC